AUGUUACAAGUUUGUCUUUUUAUUCUCCACUUCAAGUAUGGUCGUGGUACACCAUUGAUUCCUUCAAGUCUUCCUCAUUCAUGUCUCAUUACCAUUGUUACAACAGAUGAAAUAGAAAGAAGAAGAUGGUUAGCAAAUAAUCAACACUUGAACAUAAGCAUGAAUUUUCAAAUAAGUUUCUUUUCAAGUUCAUCAUUAGGGUUGUGA
Molecule: non-coding RNA, 207 nt
Organism: Vicia faba (fava bean)
Lineage: Eukaryota; Viridiplantae; Streptophyta; Magnoliopsida; Fabales; Fabaceae
Source: the annotation of a GenBank genome assembly